GCGAGUUGUCAACUUUGAUUUUUUUUUCUUUGGCUCGCCGCGCUCGCCGCAGUUGGUUAACUUGGCCAACUUUGAUUAAAAAUGUUGAAUGUUGUCAAAUUUGUUUUUAAGUGCGUGCAAGAACAUUGGAUGGAGUUGAAAUGUGGGAGUAGAAUGGACAUCAUUCACCCGAAGGAUCUGCUGGAGAACUAAGCCGGACAAAGAACUAAAAGGUCCGGUCCCUUGUCGAAGGAACGCUUGAUUCUCGGGAUUGUCGACAGUGGAACCGGUAAAAGGUGGCGGCAGCUCGGUAGAAGUCAGGUUAGCAAAAUGUUCGUGCGAGGCGAGCCCAUGUGUAGCAGAUCUAUUUGGGCCGUGUGGAGCGGAGGUUGGUCACAAGGCUGGGUAGUCGAUUCUGCUAGCUGCUUGGAAUACACGGGACUGCCAAUUCGGAGAUCUUGUUGCGAAGACAA
This is a long non-coding RNA of Culex quinquefasciatus (southern house mosquito), 452 nucleotides long. RefSeq lists it as uncharacterized. NCBI's taxonomy places the organism in Eukaryota, Metazoa, Arthropoda, Insecta, Diptera, Culicidae. The record is from RefSeq and is a predicted model, not a curated record. The transcript has 3 exons.